CUAAUACAUGCAAGUCGAGCGAACGGACGAGAAGCUUGCUUCUCUGAUGUUAGCGGCGGACGGGUGAGUAACACGUGGAUAACCUACCUAUAAGACUGGGAUAACUUCGGGAAACCGGAGCUAAUACCGGAUAAUAUUUUGAACCGCAUGGUUCAAAAGUGAAAGACGGUCUUGCUGUCACUUAUAGAUGGAUCCGCGCUGCAUUAGCUAGUUGGUAAGGUAACGGCUUACCAUAGGCAACGAUGCAUAGCCGACCUGAGAGGGUGAUCGGCCACACUGGAACUGAGACACGGUCCAGACUCCUACGGGAGGCAGCAGUAGGGAAUCUUCCGCAAUGGGCGAAAGCCUGACGGAGCAACGCCGCGUGAGUGAUGAAGGUCUUCGGAUCGUAAAACUCUGUUAUUAGGGAAGAACAUAUGUGUAAGUAACUGUGCACAUCUUGACGGUACCUAAUCAGAAAGCCACGGCUAACUACGUGCCAGCAGCCGCGGUAAUACGUAGGUGGCAAGCGUUAUCCGGAAUUAUUGGGCGUAAAGCGCGCGUAGGCGGUUUUUUAAGUCUGAUGUGAAAGCCCACGGCUCAACCGUGGAGGGUCAUUGGAAACUGGAAAACUUGAGUGCAGAAGAGGAAAGUGGAAUUCCAUGUGUAGCGGUGAAAUGCGCAGAGAUAUGGAGGAACACCAGUGGCGAAGGCGACUUUCUGGUCUGUAACUGACGCUGAUGUGC
RNAcentral lists this ribosomal RNA (725 nucleotides) under uncultured Staphylococcus sp. RNAcentral's name for it is "bacterial SSU rRNA". It matches the Rfam family "Bacterial small subunit ribosomal RNA", at positions 48 to 754 of the family's 1533-position model. Lineage: Bacteria; Bacillati; Bacillota; Bacilli; Caryophanales; Staphylococcaceae. The record is from RNAcentral.